UCAGACGAUGCGUCAUGCAUAUCAAUAAGCGGAGGAAAAGAAACUAACAAGGAUUCCCCUAGUAACGGCGAGUGAAGCGGGAAGAGCUCAAAUUUGAAAUCUUAAAGGGUUUCCCUUUACGAAUUGUAGUUUAAAGAAGUGUUUUCUGUUGAGGUUUUGGUAAAAGUUCUUUGGAAUAGGACAUCAUAGAGGGUGAGAAUCCUGUAUUUGACCUUUACUUUCAACUUUGUGAUACACUUUCAAAGAGUCGGAUUGUUUGGGAAUGCAGUCCAAAAUGGGUGGUAAAUUUCAUCUAAAGCUAAAUAUUGGCGAGAGACCGAUAGCGAACAAGUACCGUGAGGGAAAGAUGAAAAGAACUUUGAAAAGAGAGUUAAACAGUACGUGAAAUUGUCAAAAGGGAAGCGUUUGACACCAGUGUUGUUUUUCUGAAAAUCAAUUAAAGAACUGUUUAUGCUAAGCUGUUUAGACUUUAUCAGCUAUCUGUUUAGUUUUAGGCUUUUCUUUAAUGCACUUUUCAGUUAAUAAGUCAACAUCAAUUUCUUUUGCUGUAAAAAAGCUUGAGGAAGGUGGCUUGAGAUUCGUCUUAAGUGUUUAUAGCCUCUUGCCUAUGCAGUCGGAGAGAUUGAGGUCUGCAGCGUAGAUCCUUCGGGGCUAAAUGCAUUUGUGCUAAGUUAUAGCAUUUUAUAGACAACUUGUUGACUAUGAUUUGUCUUGUAGCUUACUCGCUUAUGUUAUUUUACCUACGCUUAGGAUGUUGACACACGCGCGUGCUCG
RNAcentral lists this ribosomal RNA (774 nucleotides) under uncultured Neocallimastigales. Its description in RNAcentral is "partial large subunit ribosomal RNA". It matches the Rfam family "Eukaryotic large subunit ribosomal RNA", at positions 18 to 643 of the family's 3401-position model. The record is from RNAcentral. Lineage: Eukaryota; Fungi; Neocallimastigomycota; Neocallimastigomycetes; Neocallimastigales.